RNAcentral lists this transfer RNA (71 nucleotides) under Camelus bactrianus (Bactrian camel). It matches the Rfam family "tRNA". Rfam says of the family: Transfer RNA (tRNA) molecules are approximately 80 nucleotides in length. Their secondary structure includes four short double-helical elements and three loops (D, anti-codon, and T loops). RNAcentral also lists the same sequence under 2 other names. The record is from Rfam by way of RNAcentral. Lineage: Eukaryota; Metazoa; Chordata; Mammalia; Artiodactyla; Camelidae.
UGGGUAUCACUCAGUGGUAGAGUGAGUGCUUAGCAUGCACAAGGUCCUGGGUUCAAUUCCCAGUACCUCAG